GACGAACGCUGGCGGCGUGCUUAACACAUGCAAGUCGAACGGAAAGGCCCUGCUUUUGUGGGGUGCUCGAGUGGCGAACGGGGGAGUAACACGCGAGUAACCUGCCCUUGACUUUGGGAUAACUUCAGGAAACUGGGGCUAAUACCGGAUAGGAGCUCCUGCUGCAUGGUGGGGGUUGGAAAGUUUCGGCGGUUGGGGAUGGACUCGCGGCUUAUCAGCUUGUUGGUGGGGUAGUGGCUUACCAAGGCUUUGACGGGUAGCCGGCCUGAGAGGGUGACCGGCCACAUUGGGACUGAGAUACGGCCCAGACUCCUACGGGAGGCAGCAGUGGAGAAUAUUGCACAAUGGGCGGGAGCCUGAUGCAGCAACGCCGCGUGCGGGAUGACGGCCUUCGGGUUGUAAACCGCUUUCGCCUGUGACGAAGCGUGAGUGACGGUAAUGGGUAAAGAAGCACCGGCUAACUACGUG
This 468-nucleotide ribosomal RNA is filed under the name uncultured bacterium. RNAcentral's name for it is "partial 16S ribosomal RNA". It matches the Rfam family "Bacterial small subunit ribosomal RNA", at positions 28 to 507 of the family's 1533-position model. The record is from RNAcentral.